UCUGCCUAGUAGUGGGGGAUAACUUGCCGAAAGGUAAGCUAAUACCGCAUACGUCGUACGGGAGAAAGCAGGGACUCUUCGGAGCCUUGCGCUAUUAGAUGAGCCUAGGUCGGAUUAGUUAGUUGGUGAGGUAAUGGCUCACCAAGACCGCGAUCCGUAACUGGUCUGAGAGGAUGAUCAGUCACACUGGAACUGAGACACGGUCCAGACUCCUACGGGAGGCAGCAGUGGGGAAUAUUGGACAAUGGGGGGAACCCUGAUCCAGCCAUGCCGCGUGUGUGAAGAAGGCCUUCGGGUUGUAAAGCACUUUAAUUUGGGAGGAAGGGCUUACGGUUAAUAACCGCUAAGUUUUGACGUUACCAAAAGAAUAAGCACCGGCUAACUUCGUGCCAGCAGCCGCGGUAAUACGAAGGGUGCAAGCGUUAAUCGGAAUUACUGGGCGUAAAGCGCGCGUAGGUGGUUCAGUAAGUUAGGAGUGAAAGCCCCGGGCUCAACCUGGGAAUUGCUUCUAAAACUGCUGGGCUAGAGUACAGUAGAGGGUGGUGGAAUUUCCUGUGUAGCGGUGAAAUGCGUAGAUAUAGGAAGGAACAUCAGUGGCGAAGGCGACCACCUG
This 613-nucleotide ribosomal RNA is filed under the name uncultured bacterium. RNAcentral describes it as "bacterial SSU rRNA". It matches the Rfam family "Bacterial small subunit ribosomal RNA", at positions 125 to 731 of the family's 1533-position model. The record is from RNAcentral.